Molecule: ribosomal RNA, 407 nt
Filed under: uncultured bacterium
Lineage: Bacteria
Description: bacterial SSU rRNA
Rfam family: Bacterial small subunit ribosomal RNA
Source: RNAcentral
UGGGGGAUAUUGGACAAUGGGGGGAACCCUGAUCCAGCGACGCCGCGUGAGUGAAGAAGUAUCUCGGUAUGUAAAGUUCUAUCAGCAGGGAAGAAAGAAAUGACGGUACAUGAGUACGAAGCCCCGGCUAACUACGUGCCAGCAGCCGCGGUAAUACGUAGGGGGCAAGCGUUAUCCGGAAUGACUGGGUGUAAAGGGAGCGUAGACGGUGAUGUAAGUCUGGAGUGAAAGGCGGGGGCCCAACCCCCGGACUGCUCUGGAAACUAUAUGACUGGAGUGCAGGAGAGGUGAGCGGAAUUCCUAGUGUAGCGGUGAAAUGCGUAGAUAUUAGGAGGAACACCAGUGGCGAAGGCGGCUCACUGGACUGUAACUGACGUUGAGGCUCGAAAGCGUGGGGAGCAAACAGG